AAGACAGUAGUAGGCAGCUCUCCUCUGGCAGGUGCAUUCUAGGUGAUUUUGUAAUUGUAUAUGCAUCCAAGGUAUAUACAGUCCGGCCAUGGUGCUACAUUGCAAUCAUCCAUAUGUGAUUGCAUUGUGUAUAUAUAUACAUGGUGGCCUUUGAUAGACCAUCAUAUAUCGGUUGGUUAUGUGCAUGUAUGUAUAUACCAGCUGCUACUAGCUUUGAUCGAUCGCCAUGUAGCGAUUGAAUUCACCAAAACGGCCUGCCAAAGGAGAGUUGCCCUGCGACUGUCU
This 285-nucleotide microRNA precursor is filed under the name Oryza sativa Japonica Group (Japanese rice). Its description in RNAcentral is "osa-MIR399d". Lineage: Eukaryota; Viridiplantae; Streptophyta; Magnoliopsida; Poales; Poaceae. The record is from RNAcentral.